RNAcentral lists this ribosomal RNA (496 nucleotides) under uncultured bacterium. Its description in RNAcentral is "partial 16S ribosomal RNA". It matches the Rfam family "Bacterial small subunit ribosomal RNA", at positions 28 to 506 of the family's 1533-position model. The record is from RNAcentral.
GAUGAACGCUGGCGGCGUGCCUAAUACAUGCAAGUCGAGCGAACAGACGAGGAGCUUGCUCCUCUGACGUUAGCGGCGGACGGGUGAGUAACACGUGGAUAACCUACCUAUAAGACUGGGAUAACUUCGGGAAACCGGAGCUAAUACCGGAUAAUAUAUUGAACCGCAUGGUUCAAUAGUGAAAGACGGUUUUGCUGUCACUUAUAGAUGGAUCCGCGCCGCAUUAGCUAGUUGGUAAGGUAACGGCUUACCAAGGCAACGAUGCGUAGCCGACCUGAGAGGGGGAUCGGCCACACGGGAACUGAGAACCGGCCCAGACCCCUAGGGGGGGCAGAAGGAGGGAAUCUUCCGCAAGGGGGGAAAGCCUGACGGAGCAACGCCGGGGGGGGGAAGAAGGUCUUCGGAUCGAAAAACUCUGUUAUUAGGGAAGAAAAAAUGUGAAAGUAACUAUGCACGUUUUGACGGUACCGAAUCAGAAAGCCACGGCUAACUACGU